GUACCUUUAGCUCAGUCGGAUAGAGCAACUGCCUUCUAAGCAGUAGGUCGGAGGUUCGAGUCCUCCAAGGUACGCCA
RNAcentral lists this transfer RNA (77 nucleotides) under Clostridiales bacterium. Its description in RNAcentral is "tRNA-Arg". It matches the Rfam family "tRNA". Rfam says of the family: Transfer RNA (tRNA) molecules are approximately 80 nucleotides in length. Their secondary structure includes four short double-helical elements and three loops (D, anti-codon, and T loops). Further hydrogen bonds mediate the characteristic L-shaped molecular structure. tRNAs have two regions of fundamental functional importance: the anti-codon, which is responsible for specific mRNA codon recognition, and the 3' end, to which the tRNAs corresponding amino acid is attached (by aminoacyl-tRNA synthetases). tRNAs cope with the degeneracy of the genetic code in two manners: having more than one tRNA (with a specific anti-codon) for a particular amino acid; and 'wobble' base-pairing, i.e. permitting non-standard base-pairing at the 3rd anti-codon position. Lineage: Bacteria; Bacillati; Bacillota; Clostridia; Eubacteriales. The record is from RNAcentral.